This 1417-nucleotide long non-coding RNA is filed under the name Balaenoptera musculus (blue whale). Its description in RNAcentral is "lncRNA (ENSBMSG00010007403.1)". Lineage: Eukaryota; Metazoa; Chordata; Mammalia; Artiodactyla; Balaenopteridae. The record is from RNAcentral.
AUGGUGAGCGGCGAAGGUAAGGCGAGCUCGCAGAGGCAGCGGCGGCGGCGGCGGAGACGGAGAGAGGCAGGCAGGCAGGCAGGGCGAGGGCGAGAGACGGAGGGAGGGAGCGAGCGAGGCAGACCAGACAGACAGACAGGCGGGCGGGCGGGCAAAGCGAGCCACCCGCCAGGCUGCACUCAGCCCCGCUCGCAGCGGAGAGAGCAGAAGGCAGGAGGAGGGAGGGGAGGAGGGGGAGGGAGGGAGAGAGGGAAUCCAGCUACCACCACCCAAAGCCAGCGUCUGCUUUCUGUCCUCAUUUCCUUUUCCCACCCAGCUCUGAAAGCAGAGAAAGGCAGAGGGAGCGAGAGAUAGAGACAGUCAGAGAGACAGACAGACAGCCAGAGAGAGCAGGAGGGAGGAGGGCGGAGGAGGAGGAGCAGGAGGAGGACUACGCGGGGCGCGUUCCCUCCCAGCUGCCGAGCGCCCGCGUCGCUGCCGCGGCCGGAAGACAGACGCCCCCCAAAGCCCCUCGCCUGGCUCGGACCAACGGAGCCGGCAGCCCAGCACUCCGAUGGGAGCUUGCCUGCCUGUCUGCCCAUUGGCCUGGACCCCAGAGCCUGCCCAGCUAAGUGCGUGCAGAGUGCCCCGGCUUUGGGGCGACUCUCAGGCCGCCGAAGAGACCACCCUGGAAUCACUGGCGAAGACAGGCCUUUCUUGCUGAGCUGGGCCUGUCUGCACAGCCUGCUCAGCUUUCAGAAAACCAACGCCAAGACCCCUCCCAGCGUCCACACGGUCCUCCGGCAGGCGCCUGCCCCUCUGCCUCCCGCCCCACCUCCCCUGCACCCCCUGCAGCCCCAUCGCCCCCCCACCCCUCCCUGCCCAUCUCCUCCACGCAGAAGCCGAAGGUUCUGCUGCCCUAGAGGGUGUUGGAGCCCUUGUGAUAAACAGAUGGACAAUCAAGCACACAAACGCAUCACUUGGGACAAAAAAAAAGAAAAGAAAAGCAAAAGCCAGAGGUCAUUGUCGUAUCAUGAAGAACUGGGAGGGAGAACCAGCUCAAUGGGCCAUGGGAAGGCUAGGAUAGGACGGACUGGGCCACGGGCCAGUGGGCACAGCAGACACAGCUAGGGGAAGAAGCAGCCCUGGCUUCCAGUUCCGACUGCUGUGUUACCCUGGAUCAGCUGCUGCCCCUCUCUGGAUCUCUCUUCUGCUUCUAACAAAGAGAGAGCUGCAGUUGGAGAUUUCCGAGGCAAUGAGAUUCUCAAAGUCACUGCAGCAGUUGUAUAAACAGGGCGGGGGCCUGGGAGCCUUGGGAGUCUGAUCAGAGUAACAAGAGCCCCCUCCUCAGAGGCUCCCCGACAGCCUCCUCCCCGCUCUAGGCCUGGGCUCUAGUCUGGGUUGAAGCACCAGAGGCCAACAGCACCCCUGCCCCCCA